CCUACGGGUGGCAGCAGUGGGGAAUAUUGGGCAAUGGGCGCAAGCCUGACCCAGCAACGCCGCGUGAAGGAAGAAGGCUUUCGGGUUGUAAACUUCUUUUGUCAGGGAAGAGUAGCAGACGGUACCUGACGAAUAAGCCACGGCUAACUACGUGCCAGCAGCCGCGGUAAUACGUAGGGAGCAAGCGUUGUCCGGAAUUACUGGGUGUAAAGGGAGCGUAGGCGGGAUAGUAAGUUGAUUGUUAAAACUAUCGGCUCAACUGGUAGAUGCGAUCAAAACUGCAAUUCUUGAGUGAAGUAGAGGCAGGCGGAAUUCCUAGUGUAGCGGUGAAAUGCGUAGAUAUUAGGAGGAACACCAGUGGCGAAGGCGGCCUGCUGGGCUUUAACUGACGCUGAGGCUCGAAAGUGUGGGUAGCAAACAGGAUUAGAUACCCGUGUAGUC
This 441-nucleotide ribosomal RNA is filed under the name uncultured bacterium. Its description in RNAcentral is "partial 16S ribosomal RNA". It matches the Rfam family "Bacterial small subunit ribosomal RNA", at positions 338 to 795 of the family's 1533-position model. The record is from RNAcentral.